Molecule: ribosomal RNA, 468 nt
Filed under: uncultured bacterium
Lineage: Bacteria
Description: partial 16S ribosomal RNA
Rfam family: Bacterial small subunit ribosomal RNA
Source: RNAcentral
GACGAACGCUGGCGGCGUGCUUAACACAUGCAAGUCGAACGGAAAGGCCCUGCUUUUGUGGGGUGCUCGAGUGGCGAACGGGUGAGUAACACGUGAGUAACCUGCCCUUGACUUUGGGAUAACUUCAGGAAACUGGGGCUAAUACCGGAUAGGAGCUCCUGCUGCAUGGUGGGGGUUGGAAAGUUUUGGCGGUUGGGGAUGGACUCGCGGCUUAUCAGCUUGUUGGUGGGGUAGUGGCUUACCAAGGCUUUGACGGGUAGCCGGCCUGAGAGGGUGACCGGCCACAUUGGGACUGAGAUACGGGCCAGACUCCUACGGGAGGCAGCAGUGGGGAAUAUUGCACAAUGGGCGGAAGCCUGAUGCAGCAACGCCGCGUGCGGGAUGACGGCCUUCGGGUUGUAAACCGCUUUCGCCUGUGACGAAGCGUGAGUGACGGUAAUGGGUAAAGAAGCACCGGCUAACUACGUG